This 29-nucleotide small RNA is filed under the name Bombyx mori (domestic silkworm). Its description in RNAcentral is "ovarian small RNA-34399". Lineage: Eukaryota; Metazoa; Arthropoda; Insecta; Lepidoptera; Bombycidae. The record is from RNAcentral.
UGGAAAUGAGGCUGCUCAUACGGGGUGCA